Molecule: long non-coding RNA, 2014 nt
Filed under: Triticum aestivum (bread wheat)
Lineage: Eukaryota; Viridiplantae; Streptophyta; Magnoliopsida; Poales; Poaceae
Description: long non-coding RNA (TAES_LNC014425)
Source: RNAcentral
UAUUUUUCAUUCACAUAUUUCAAUUUUACACAUUUCAACAGCAAACAAUCAAUAAUUCUCAUAAUUAAAUGAUCAAAUCCAGAAAUCCCUCAAUGAAACUCACAACAGCUCAUACACAUCCGCACGAUCCAUCAAGUGUACAUACAAUCGGAAACAAAUACACACGCACCAAAACAUGGUGGCAACAUCAACUAAAACUAUUGUGCACAUCUCUAGGCUUCUUCUGAUCUUCGUUCACAGCAGCAGCCACUCGACGACUUUAGAUGCUGAUCUACAUAAAUUAUUAGUAAGAUACAGUGGAAGUUAAAUGAUUGUCAAUAAAAAAAUAUCCAUUCAAGAGAAUAAAAAUUACACCUAAAUUCCCAAAUGCCUCAGUUCAGUAAACACUAAGCAUGGCAUGGCAAAACUUCCAAAACUUGACUGCAACACAUUGACCUAGUGAUGUUCUUCUAAGGCCCUGUUCGGUUUACAGGAAUUUCAAAGAAAAGGUACAGGAACCCAAAACGGAGGAAAUCUGCUAAGAACUAGCGUUCGGCACGCAGGAUUUCAACCAUCAGAUUCCUCUGACUUUCACAGGAAAAUAAAAAUCCAACCAGAGAUCGUGUCUUCGCGUAAGAGCGAAGCAGCACAGAGCUAACAAUGAGUGCAGGCUGACAGUUGCACUGUACAUCCUAAUAAAAUAUACCUUUGUGUGCCAGCAGCUUGGAGACCAAAGCAGCUAGUACGUUACAUGCCGAAUAAAUUAUAUUUUAAUCUAUACUUCACAACCCAUGCACAAGCCGACUCCUAUGUGUUUUUGCAAUGACCCGAACUCGUUUUUCUCAAGCUUUCCUACGUUUCUAGAUCCGCAGUUUUGCUUUGCUUCUCCUUUCCCAUUCCUACUAUUUCUUAAAUUCCUGUGUUUUAAUACCCUUUGUUCCGAACAGGGCCUAAGACAUUCAAGCUCAUCGUAGGCAGCAACAAUACUAACAUAUAGGUACCAGCAAUCACACGCAAACUGGUUUGGGUCAACAACAACAACAAGGCUACGAAGAACCACACAGGAAAUGGUUAACGCCAACAGAUGCCGGGCCUAUCAAAAACCACGGAAACUAACAUACCAUCUGAAUAUAUGAUCGUUUCCAGUGCAGAGGAUCUAGCAGUGCUCCCAACUCUAGAGAGACUUGCGGGAAGGGGCGGCUGGGCAAGGGGAGCGCGACUCACAGGUGGGGGUAACCGAGCAUGUCGUUGCUUGCCUCGCGCUGGCAGAACUUGUUGGUCGUGUUCGCUGUUAUAGUCAAGCAGCAGCCUCUUGUACUCGAAGGCCUAUAAAAUAAAAUGGAUAAGUUAGAUUGAUUAUUGUAGGUGCAGCACAUUUUCUGGAAGAGGCAUAAACAUGGAAUGAAAUAGAUGUAGUAUCAUCACUACAUGAAAGGAGCAUUAUUCUUGAAGUAAAAAACAACAUCCUGUCACCAAACAAACACUACUUGACAGGAAACUGUGCAUUUCGUCCUUGUAUCCAUUAGUAGCAGGAUAGCAGCAAUGAUUCACAUGGCACGAAUAAUUCAUUAUGAGGAAACAUGUUACUGGGUAUGAAACAAACUAUUUACAUAGGUAAAAUGGACACAUGUACAAUACAUAGCUUGUUGUAAGCAGAAAACACUAGUGCUCAUAUACCAAAAUCAACGACAGUACUUAUGGACAAGCGUAACAAGGUUAAACAUCGGAGAAAGCACUUGCUAAGAUAUCAUCAUUUAGGGGCAUUUCCAUCACCAAUGUGGCAAACUGCAAAGCUGGUCAGCAGAACAUAUCUGUCACCAGUUACAAGCAUAUUCUUGUUCAUGCAUAACUAUAGCCACCUCUAUUUCAAAAACAGAAGCAAAUCAACCACCCUUCAAAAUUUCUGUACUAUCUAAACCAACAAAGAUGUCAACUUAAAUACUUCUAGAAAUCAGUGCCCAUACGCACUUGUAGGUUGCAGAAACACUAGAGUUUCACCACAACAGUGCACAAACUGCAACAAAUGAAUAAACAA